RNAcentral lists this ribosomal RNA (584 nucleotides) under uncultured Bacilli bacterium. RNAcentral describes it as "bacterial SSU rRNA". It matches the Rfam family "Bacterial small subunit ribosomal RNA", at positions 52 to 616 of the family's 1533-position model. The record is from RNAcentral. Lineage: Bacteria; Bacillati; Bacillota; Bacilli.
UACAUGCAAGUCGAGCCGGACCUGACGGGAGCUUGCUCCCUUAGGUCAGCGGCGGACGGGUGAGUAACACGUGGGUAACCUGCCUGUAAGACUGGGAUAACUCCGGGAAACCGGGGCUAAUACCGGAUGCUUGAUUGAGCCGCAUGGUUCAAUUAUAAAAGGUGGCUUUCAGCUACCACUUACAGAUGGACCCGCGGCGCAUUAGCUAGUUGGUGAGGUAACGGCUCACCAAGGCGACGAUGCGUAGCCGACCUGAGAGGGUGAUCGGCCACACUGGGACUGAGACACGGCCCAGACUCCUACGGGAGGCAGCAGUAGGGAAUCUUCCGCAAUGGACGAAAGUCUGACGGAGCAACGCCGCGUGAGUGAUGAAGGUUUUCGGAUCGUAAAACUCUGUCGUCAGGGAAGAACAAGUACCGUUCGAAUAGGGCGGCACCUUGACGGUACCUAACCAGAAAGCCACGGCUAACUACGUUGCAGCAGNCGCGGUAAUACGUAGGUGGCAAGCGUCGUCCGGAAUUAUUGGGCGUCAAGCGCGCGCAGGCGGUUUCUUAAGUCUGAUGUGAAAGCCCCGGCUCAACCGG